GGAGAGUUCGAUCCUGGCUCAGGAUGAACGCUGGCGGCGCGCCUAACACAUGCAAGUCGAACGGGAUGCGUAUCGGAAAGCUUCGGCCGGAAGAUACGUUAUCUAGUGGCGGACGGGUGAGUAACACGUGGGUAACCUGCCUUAUGGAGGGGGAUAACAGAGAGAAAUCACUGCUAAUACCGCAUAAGCACACAGUACCGCAUGGUACAGGGUGAAAAGAUUUAUCACCAUAAGAUGGACCCGCGUCUGAUUAGCCAGUUGGCAGGGUAAAAGCCUACCAAAGCAACGAUCAGUAGCCGAUC
This 302-nucleotide ribosomal RNA is filed under the name Megasphaera micronuciformis. Its description in RNAcentral is "bacterial SSU rRNA". It matches the Rfam family "Bacterial small subunit ribosomal RNA", at positions 6 to 292 of the family's 1533-position model. Lineage: Bacteria; Bacillati; Bacillota; Negativicutes; Veillonellales; Veillonellaceae. The record is from RNAcentral.